RNAcentral lists this long non-coding RNA (42853 nucleotides) under Prunus persica (peach). RNAcentral describes it as "long non-coding RNA (PPER_LNC006654)". Lineage: Eukaryota; Viridiplantae; Streptophyta; Magnoliopsida; Rosales; Rosaceae. The record is from RNAcentral.
CGCUGAUGACAACGCUUGACGGGAGAAAUCUGCGGGUCUCCAUUGAUUCGAUCAUCGGUCCCACCCACGAAGAAGUGGUUAAAGGGGAAGGAAUGCCUAUCCAGAAGGAACAAGGCAAAAAGGGUAACUUGAUUCUCAAGUUUAACAUCAGGAUCCCCAAGCUUACCUCAGAGCAGAAAACUAGCAUCAAACAAUUGUUAACAUCUUUGUAAAUGUUGAUUGUACCAUCGAAGUUUUUCUUCUGCUUUUCAUUUUCUCUGCACCCAAACAAUAACUUUCUAGGUUUCCCUUCGCCAUCUACCAAGCUUUCCUGAUUGUACUGUGUAGGUUUGUGUGUGUGUUGUGUUAGCUGUAUACAAGUAGAUUGCUCUCUCCACCACAUUAUUGUGAUGAACGGGAGCAAUUAUUAUUGUAAUAUAUCGUGUAAUCUAUGCUCUGUAAUUAACUCUAUUUAGGAGCACUUCCUGUUACAGUGGCCUUGUUGAUUGUGAUUCCUCAAAUGGUAAAAGGAAACUCAGUUAACAUAAAAGUAAGAAGCUCUAGCUAAUUAAGAAACGGUCCCAGAUAUCAAAUCAAAAACUGGACUUGAUCUGUGAAAUAGUAAACGCCGAAUCAAAGGCAAAAUAGGCAGCGUAGGAUUCAAUAUUCUUCAUGUUUCUGGCUUGAAGUUUACGUUAAGGUCUUGUAUUAGUAAGGAAGUGGAAAUGGAGCUUGAUUUUGUAUAAUGAAUCAAAAGAUCAUAAAAUGCGUCAAAGUGACUAGUUCCAAGUGUUUAGGCCUUGAUUGAGCACGGAGUUUAGGAGAGUUUAUACACACAAAGAGAUGGAAACAGAGGAGAGAAACAGAGCAUCAAACAAUUGUUAACAUUUUCGUAAAUGCUGGUAUGGUGGUAGCUUUCCCUACCAUAUCACCAAACCUUUCUCUCCGCUUUUCAUUUUCUCUGCGCUCAAUCACUAACUUUCUAGUUUUCCCUUCACCUCUGCCAAGCUUGUGUAAGCUUUCCUGUGUGUUCUUGUAUUAGUUGUCUAGGCUGCCAAGUUUUUCUCAGUAUGAUGCAGUAGCACCAAAAAAAAAAAGCAGCUCAUCUUAUUACUAGACGGUCACAGAUAUCAAAUUAAAAAUUGGACUCAAUGUUUGAAGUAGUAAACGCUGAACUCAAACAAAAGAUCAUAAAAUGAGUCUACGGAUUUGCAAGUGUUCCGACAUUGAGCUUAAACCAAAAUUCAAGCUUGAAUUUAUAUGUAGAUGUUUCUUGUCGAGCAAUGAUAGCCUUGCUGUAAGAUGGUUUACCUGAUGAACUAAUCAGCCUUGCCUACAGUUGGCACAUGAGUCAUUUUUCUCCCAUCACCAGUUUUGUAUAAGUUUACAUUCUCUAAUUUAAUCUCUAUUAUAUUCUUGUACAAGUUUGCAUUUUCAUGUUAUAUGCAUAUUUCUUGGUUCUUUGAUUUGGACCCGAAAUUUUUCGCUCCAACAUCUCUUAUUGGCAUGGGCCUAGGCGGCCCAUUUAUUCAAGAAAGAUGGUGAUUAUACUUUUAACUCCUCCAUAUUAUUUUUGUACUUUGAAAAUAAGGGGGUUAUGAGCCCAAACGAACAAAAUGAGAGUGUCAAAAUUAUUACCCUUAUGAGAAAAAAAUUCAAUAUUGAGACUUUUUUUCAUGUGGAUGAUCAUGAGCACUUUGUAAGUAGUUGAUUAGUUAUUUGUGGGGGUUUAGAUUCAGAAGAGUUAAUAAAAACUUGUGUUGUAAACUUUAUUUUCUGAUCACCAAAGGGAACCAAAAGGACGUAAAGAUAGAUAGCUUUGUACCCUCCUAUCUAAAAUACCGACUAAGCCCUUAUAGAAAUAUUGACCACACAAACAAACCCCUCAUAGAAGUAUUGACUCAAAAGUCUUCAACUUUUCACAAAAGCUAACCCACAAUGCUGCUACAGUCUCUUGAGCUAAUUUCCUCGUAAGACAAGUGUGCCUUGUCUAGGAAGUCUUGCAAAAUUACCCUUUGAACCUUUGGUGGUCCUGCAUAUUCCAUCUAUGAUUGUGAUCGAGCUCUGUUGCUUUUGUGCCAUCAAUAAUUGAGCUCACACUAUAAAUCAGGUGCUACUUGAAGAAAGGUUUUGCCAGAGCUUAGAGUUUAGGAGAGCUUUAGAAGCACACAGAGAGAUAGAAACAGAGGAGAAAAACAGAGAGAGAGAGAGAGAGAGAGAGAGAGAGAGAGAGAGAGAGAGAGAGAGUGAGGCAUGGAGGGAUCAGGGGUUUUCGGAUCACGCAGCCAUGAAGAUCUAUUCUCGUCGGCUUUCGAAUGGAAUUGCAACGCAGGGGCGUCACGGGCUGGCGGGUCUCGGAGACCGGACAAUGACAGCGUGUUCAGCUUCGGCGACAAGACUUUUGUGCAGAGGGGAGGAGAUAGGCCUAGGAAAGCUGUGGCCAUAGAGAAGACAUUGCCCUGCACUCUGGAGGACUUGUACAAUGGCACCACCAAAAAGAUGAAGAUUUCUAGGGAUGUUGUUGGUGCUAGUGGGUAAGCCCUUUUCUUUUUCUUAUGAAUAUUUUUGUUUAAUUUAGGCAUCUGGGGUGUUGAAAAUGUCUUUUGGCCUCAGGGGAGCAUAAUUUAAUACCAAACAUGGCCUUAGCUUGAUGAUCUUAUCAUUAGAAAUGCUAUAUGCUUUAUCUUCCAGCUGGGCUGGUGUGGAAAUUAAAAGUGACUAGAAAAUUAUAAAAGUGAUUUUACGCAACUUUCUUUUUGUUUUUGUUUGAUACUGCAGAAGAAAAAGCACAGUGGAGGAAGUUCUAACAAUUGUGAUCAAGCCCGGUUGGAAACAGGGCACCAAAAUCACUUACCCAGAGAAAGGUCAUGAUGUGGAGCAAGGUGUUAUACCAGCCGACAUCAUAUUUACCAUUGAAGAGAAGCCUCAUGAUUUUUUCAAGAGGCGUGGGGACGAUCUCACCGUCACUCUGAACAUAUCCCUUGCGGAAGCUCUGACGGGUCACACGGCGCAGCUGGCAACCCUUGAUGGGAGAAAUCUGAGGGUCUCUAUCGAUUCAGUUAUCAGUAUCACCCAUGAAGAAGUGGUUAAAGGGGAAGGGAUGCCUAUCCAGAAGGGACGAGGCAGAAAGGGUAACUUGAUUCUCAAGUUUAACAUCAAGAUCCCCAAGCUUACCUCAGAGCAGAAAGCUGGCAUCAGACAGCUAUUAACAUCUUCAUAAACGCUUGGUGGUAGUUCUCCCUUUUCUGUCUGCUUUUCUUUUUCUCAGUCAUUUUCUCUGCAGCCAAACACUAGCUUUCUAGGAUUCCCUUCAUCAUGCACCAAGCUAGUGUUUGGCUGUAUUGUGUUGUGUUGUUGUGUUAUUUAUGUACUAGUAGAUUGCUCUCCACCAAUUAAAUUGUGAUGAAUGGGAGCAAUUAUUAUUGUAAAAUAUCCUAUUUAUGUAUGCUUUGUUGUGAUUAAUCUAUUUAGAAGUAGUCACUGUUACAGUGGCCUUGUUGAUUGUGAUUCCUCCAAUGGUAAAAUCAAACUCAGUUACCAGUUAAAAAAAGAACUAAAUUAAAUUAAAUUGAUAUGUUUGUAUAUGUGGGCAUCAGAUUCAGCUGCAAAGGUUUUCUGCGUGUAUGCAGCUAAUUCUGUAAUCCCAUUCCAAGGAGGGAUAGUUCUUAUUGUGUUCUCUGUGGCCCUGUUUCCACCCUGGUUUCGUUUAUGGUGUUUACUUUCCCUUUGUUUUUCGUUGCCUCUGUUUCUGAGGUUUCUAUGAAAUUCACUUGACCCAAAAAAAAGGGUCUCAAAUAGUCAAAUUAAAAAUUGGACUUGAUCUUUCACACAGUCAACGCUCAACCAAAGGCAAAAUAGCUUUCAAUAUUUGAAGUACAGCUUAAGGACUUGUAUUAGUGACAAAGUGGCCCUUCAAUUUGUAUAAAGUGAGCCUAAAUUGCAAGUGCGCCAACUUUGAGCUUAAACCAAAAAUGAAGUUCUAAUUUUGACUUGAAGCGUUAAGAUUGAUUAGUAUUCAACACGAUCAUAAAAUUUUACAAUGUGACUUAGUUACAAAAUCACGAGAUUAAUUUUCAAUUUAAACGUAAUGAAUUCGAUCAUGUUUUUAUUUUUUAUUUUUUUAUAAGGUAAGAUUGUCUCAUGUUGAUAAGAAAGUGGACAUAGAUCUUCAAUUUGUAUAAAAAUUACAAAAUGAGUCUAAAUGACUUGUGAGUGUUCCAACAUUGACCUUAAACCAAACAAAAAGAAAAAAAAAACAGAGGAAUAUGGGGCAAAUAUGAAAAUAACAAUAAGUUAGAGGCAUCUAAUUGAAAUUGAUAUAAUAUUUUCGUGCGAAUGGCAAUUUCUAUAUAUAUAAGACCCGUCGGUAAAUUAGAAUAGAAGUAAUAUUUUAGAUUCUCUCUCACCGUUGUUGGGGGACUGGAGGAGUGGCUUUAUCAAGUAUCCACGACCUAAACACCCUCUCUUCUCUCCUCUCUUGUUUGUUUUUCUUCUUCUCUCUCUCUCUCUUUCUCUUCUCCCACGUUUACAUGCAUCUUCUUCUUUCGAUCUGUCUUCAUGCUCUGUCCCUUCGCUUUCUGUAAUUCGAACUCGCUCCGCAAACUCAAUCCCUAACACUAAAUUCCCGAUUCCCUCCGAAACGCGUCGUUUUAGAUCCCAUGGAAAUGGCCUCGAGUCCGCGAAACGUGGAGGAGAUCUUCAAAGAUUACAGUGCUCGGAGAACUGCUGUUGUCCGUGCUUUAACUUACGGUACUUGAAUUUCUCUCUCUUUCUCUCCCCUUUUCGGUUCUGAGAAUCUCUGACUUUUUUUUUGGUGUAAUUGUUUUCUCACAGAUGUCGAUGAAUUCUACGGACUCUGCGAUCCAGGUAAUGCCAAAUUGUAGAUCAGACUUACUUUUCUUCUUUGCUUGCUUUCUAAAUUUUUUAAUUGAUUUAUUUUGUUAAUUUUAUGUAUAUGUCUUCUCUUCCCCAAACACUGAGAAUAUGCGAAAAUAGGAAAAUAAAUAGGUAUACAUCGUCCGUUGUUUGAUUCUGCUAAAUCUUAAUUUUACUUCAAAUGAAUUGCUUGCUACAAUUGAAAGUUUGAAACUGCGUUGGACCUUAACUGUAGUAAAUAAUUUCAUUGUAGUGGAAGUUCAAAACAAUUUCCCUACUUCUUUGAAGGCACAACUUAUGUUUUUUGUUUUUAACUCCCAUUGGUAUAGAUAAGGAGAAUUUAUGUCUGUAUGGGCAUCCAAAUGAAACCUGGGAAGUGACACUUCCGGCGGAAGAAGUCCCACCCGAGCUUCCUGAGCCAGCACUUGGGAUCAAUUUUGCAAGAGAUGGUAUGAACCGCAAGGACUGGCUUUCUCUGGUUGCUGUUCACAGUGAUUCUUGGCUGCUUUCUGUGGCUUUCUAUUUUGGAGCACGCCUUAACCGCAAUGAGAGGUACACAAUGUUUUAUUGUUGUUGCUGCAUGUGUGAUGUAGAUAGCGUGGUAGUAUCCCUAGUUCUCUGUUGUGGAUUUAAGAUGUCUGAUACUCAACUGAAAUUGAACGAAUUCAGAUUAGGUUGAAGAUACGGAGAGAACUAAGAGAGAAAUUGGGAACGAGGAAAUUCUCUGUUUCUAUUCAUUGCUAAUAUUAGCCUUUGUUCAGAUGCUUUUAUACAAUCAGUCUGAUUACAUAAGAGUAACAAACUAGCAUACGAUUUAUCAGUAGACACUGUAGGAGACACGUGAUCAGCAAGAGUAUUCUGUCAGGAUUUGGGUUUUGUGUUUCAUAUAAUGCCUGAUGCAGAAUACCAACAUGAGUGGAGAAUUUGGUUUAAGUGCUAGCCAUCUCCCUUGAUGAUAGUAAAAGAUUGAAAUCAUAGAUUGUGUGAUAGGAAUCCAUUAGUUUACAUGUCAAUUCUUCAUUGUCCUGCUUACUAUUAUCAAACUAGAAAUGAACCUAAAAAUGCCCAUUACAGUCUUUGAAGAAUUUUGAGCACUUGGUCCCUUUUUCUGCAAUUUGCACCAAGACACCAUUGUUUGACAUAGGGGAACUGCAUUGUAGUAUAUCUUUGCUUGAGAUUCAGUGGUUUUAUUCAUCAGGACUUGUUCUGUAUAAUGACAGGAAACGCCUCUUUAGUUUGAUCAAUGAUCUGCCUACUGUCUUUGAAGUUGUGACGGAAAGGAAACCCGUUAAAGAAAAGCCCAGUGUGGAUAGUGGAAGCAAAUCUCGAGGCAGCACAAAGGUCAGAUGGAUCAAUUUCUUGUUCUGUUUUUUUCCCUUUAGAUUUCAUGUUCCCCUAAGGUUCUCAGUUGGUUCAGAAACUUUGCGCUUUGUUUCCCGUCUUGUUUGGAGAUAUAUAUUGAAACAAACUGCAGAUGUUGGAAUACAAACUUUUUCUGUGUCCACUAACUGGUUCCUCUUUUCUGUAGAGAUCCAGCGAUGGAAUUGUGAAAAGCAAUCCUAAGCUUCCAGACGAGAGUUUCGAGGAGGAGGAUGAUGAACAUAGUGAAACUCUCUGUGGGAGCUGCGGCGGGAAUUACAACGCAGAUGAAUUUUGGAUCGGCUGUGACAUCUGUGAGAGAUGGUUCCAUGGAAAAUGCGUGAAGAUAACACCUGCUAAGGCUGAGAACAUCAAGCAAUACAAAUGCCCAUCUUGCAGCUUGAAAAGGGGCAGGCAGUAGUGAUCACUCAACCUCAAACCUUCCGGGGUAGCAAAGGCAGAUAGCGCGUCGUCUCAGUGGCUGACAAAAGUAGUAUAGGAAUGUCACUAUUUAAUGUAAUGCAUUUGUUGUUGUGAUGUUUGUUCAUAAUAGAUGCUUUUUCAAAGGGGUUGAAGCCUGCCUUCGCCCCCGUUGAACGUUGCUUCGGCUUUUAUAUUAUCUUCCAGUUAUUAAUUUACGGCAAAUGUAUGAAGAAUAUUUGCUUCUUGUUAGUGUUAUUGUUAUGUUUCGUGUCAAGUAUACUAUAAAUUGAAAAAUUAUAAUUAUCUUGAUAAACAAAGUGGUAUGUUUAAUACUGAAUUGAUUUUCGCUUUCAAGUCUAGAGAAGUCUACUCCAGGGUUGGCAAAUCCGAAAAAAUCUUUUCAGUUUCUCAUGCGUAUGUGGGAAUUUUGGUGCAUCAUCCACGAUACAUUUUUUUUUUUUUUUUUUGGUAUCGGUCUGACCGUUACAUAAUUUAUUAAUUCACUUGUGUUUGUAUACCAUAGUUUCAUAAAAUAUGAAUUACGUUGUCGAACUGAGUGUUGUUUUACUAGGUUUACAUCCAUUACUCAUACUUGGGAACCCAAAAAAAAACAGACAAAAUGGAUUCAUUGCUCAUGCAUGGGCCCUUCCCCGGCCCUCCCAGAUCUGAUUUCUCAGUUGGUGGGUUGACUUUGUUGGGAUGUCGACAUGUUUAUUCUUAAUUUUAUCUUCAUCGAUACAAUUCAUUUGCACAACUUCAUCUUAUGUGUAUAAAACCAUUUCGUGCUACAUUGAUUUUGUAGUUUUUUUUUAAUAAAAAAAAAGAGUAAAAGAAUUACAAUGUGACAACAGGGCAGAUACAAUUUCGGGCAAGUUGCCCUUCUAUUUUCCUGGUGAAUAUUUUGAGUUUUGACCAAGAGACGUUUACUUCCGGACACAACACUGCAAACAAGAAACCAAGUUGAAUUAUUUGACUAAUUAAGAAAGGUUUGAGGAAAAAAAGGGAAAACUAAGUUUGAAAUGAUUUGGAGUCUGCUCAUUCUUAGUUUAAUCCGACAUUUAGAGACAGCCUAAGGCAUAUAUUACAUCCAAACGUAGCACAUCACUUAGUUCACAUCGAUGAUCAACUAAGGUUUGUUUUUGUCCACAUUUGUUUUAUGUGCUGCUCCCUCUGUCUAUAAUCUUCCUCCAUCUCUUUGAGCAAUGCUUGGGGCUGCUCUGAUACCGGUCGAAUUUGAAAUGGCUCCGAGUCAAUCAGAUGGCUCUGCGGGUAGGGAGCGCCUGCGCUGGACGCAAGAGCUACACGAUAGGUUCGUAGAGGCAGUCACUAAGCUUGGUGGCCCUGAUAGUAAGUCACUAUAAUUAAGUCUAAAUCUGAAGUUGGUCCAAUUUAAUUAUAUGUUAUGUGCAUGCAUAUUAGGUCAUAGAGCCUUAUGUUUAUAUAAUCUGUUCGCUUAAUUUUUAGGGGCAACACCAAAGGGCAUCUUGAAGGCUAUGAGCGUUUCUGGACUGACCAUCUACCAUAUCAAAAGCCAUUUGCAGGUUCUCUCUCCUUCUCUUUCUCUUAUAUGUUCUUCUUAAUCUGCCUAGGUUAAACUAAAACUUUUUAAUUUUGAGCCUUAAUUUCGGAAAAGUCGCUGAUUUUUUUUAAAUUUUCAGAAGUACAGGAUAUCAAAGUUCAUUCCAGAGUCGACCAGUAGUAAGUUUACUUGAUACUAUUUUUUUCCCUUAAAAAGUUUGGUACAUUUUCUUUACCAUACUUAUUAAUUACUGCUUAAAUGUUCUCUGGUAUUGUUUCGUUUUCCACAGAAGGCAAACUUCAGAAGAAAAACAUUUCAGAAAUGCUCCCUAAUUUCGGUGCAACGUCGUAAGUAAUCAUGUCCCCACUCACUAGCUUGAACUACAAGUAACAAUAAUAUGCUGUUUGUUAUACCAAUUAAUCACAGGCUUAACUAUUUAAUUUCCACCCUGCUGUUUUCAACACCUUCCAGUGGUGCUCAGCUCAAUGAAGCCUUAAAAAUUAUGCAGAUACAAGUACAGAGGAGACUGAGUGAUCAAAAUGAGGUAUAUAUAUGUAUCAUCUAUAAAUAUAUAAAUACAAAAAAUUAACAGGUUCACUCAAUUACUAAUAUGUUUUUUUGUGUGGGUUAUUAAUUUUAAGGUGCAAAAGAUUCUGAAACAUAAAAUUGAAGCCCAAGCAAGGUUCCUUGACAUAUUUUCAGCAGAACGCCAUAACAACAACAAGAACCGUCCGAUCUUAAUCACAAAACGCAGCAAAGUACCGUUGCCUCGGACAUCGCUGCCUUCACUUUGCGAAGACUCAGAAUCAAAUGCAAAGGAGUUUUGUUCUGACUCAGAGGCUGCUAAGACUGAAAUACAAUCCUCUGCAGAACAAUUCCAAUCUCUGAAGAGGCUUAGGCUACAUCAUCAAAACGACGAGGUCUGCGAGAUAGCACUCAAUUCAGAGUGGUAUAAUCAAAGCCACAGCUUGCUUCUCCCUCAUGAGGACCCUAUCAACUUUCCUUGGAACCUUGCAGACUGCUCAUCUCCCUUGGUGCCAACCUGCUUUCUAUAAGUAUUUUUUCUUUCUAUGAAUGCACAGAUAUAGUUUGUUUGCUGCAAGAAAUGGGAUAUUUUGAUUUUGCUGCUUCCAUUUAUUUCUCUGCUUUACUUGGAAGUUUGUGGAAGCAAUCAAAAAUAUCCAUAUCAUAUUUUUAGUAUAGAUACAGAAGUAGUUAAAGAUGUUUCCUAAUAAAAUGAUUAGCAUGAUCUUGUGCAACACUUUCACUAGUGCCAGUGGGUGAAUUAGAACAUGUAAAAUAAAGAUUUCAUUUGGGGUUUAGUGAGCAAAUAAUGCUGGGUUUGUUUCUGAAAUAAACUAAAACUACAUGGUAUUGUAUUUUUUUGGCUUCUGGUUUUGAUUGACCAUGGUAUUGUAAUAUUAAAGAGAUUAAAAAUCUGUUCUUCUUUUAUAUGUUUACCUCCCUACUCACUGCCCAAUAUUAUAGGGUUCAUUUGGGAGUAAUUAUGGACAUAUCAAUAAUCACUUUUAUGAAGAAUUACUUCCCUAUAUAAUCACUUUAAAUGAUUUUAAACGAUUCUGAGAAGAAGCACAUCCCGUUUGAUUUUCCAUAAAAUCACUUAAAAUCAUAAAAAUGAUUAUUGACCUAUUAAGAAUCACUUCUAAACGAGCCCUUAGCCUUAUUGAUUUGCCUGGUACAUUUUUGUUCUGGGGCAAUAGUAGACUCAAUAAUUUUACUUUACCAUAUGAAUUUAUAAACGAAUACAACUCGUCCAUAAAUUGUGAAUAUGUGUAGUUGGACGAAGGCAUAAAGAGUAUUGCUUCUAGUUCUUGGGCAAAUGGGCAAGUUUGGAGCUACGGUGUUAUGGCCCGAAAUAGCUGAGCUAUCUUUGAACUGCUUAAUUUUGGGUUGAACGUAGGGUGGCCCAUCCCCUCGGUACAUUUGGGCUCCACACAUGUUGGAAAAGAAAGAAAAAGGAAUUAAAAAAUUUCUUAAAUUUGACCACCCAAAAAAAUUAAAACCCCCUACUCUAGAAUGUAGAGAGGGAGUCAAGGCUCCACCUCCACCCAAAGAUGGUUGUUUGUGUUCGAAAUUUUUUAUAUAACUGUCAUACUGUUAUGUAGUUUUAAACUACAUGUUAUAAUAUUAAUGAAUGUUUGAAUUGAUUUUGCAUGGAACUAAAGUAUAAUAUUAAUAAAAAUUAAUAUUAUAAAAAAAAUUAAUAAUAUUAUGUGACAAUAUGACGAUUAUACCAAAAAAUUACUCUAUACAUCGACUAGUGUAUGGAGAAGAACAUCCUAAUAAUUGGUUUUUAAUGGGGACAAACAAGUGUGUUCGGCAUUGUGUAAAAGUUUGUUGCCUAACACAUGCAUGCGUUAGAUGAUAGAUGGUGCACCAAAAAGUGGGAUAUUUAUUUAGUGAUGACCAGGUCAAAAAAGUUGUACAAAUCAAACUUUCCAAUGAAAAGCAUUAAACAAACGUGCGUCCGUAUAUAUAAUAUGACGACUCUGCCCUCUCUCUCUCUUACGUUUUGCAUUUCUUUACAAUUAGAGAAGAAGAUUUUUGCUGCCUUGUCAAAGAGAGGUGUUGUGCUUGCUUUUAUAAUUCAUUUACAACCACACUAAUUUCAAUCUUAUCUAAAUGAUUACAUUCCUCCAGCCCAUUGUUCUCCACUUAAUUUUGAGGGUUUCUGAGAAGAAUGGCCGACUGAAUUGAAACAACAUGAAACUUAUGCUUAUUUUUUGGUCCUCAUUUUCUUCUCCAAAAGUAAUUCCACAACAUUAUUACUUAAACAAUUGGACCACUAGGAAUACAUUGAUUGAGAAUAUAUAUGGUGCUUGCUGGUCCACUUGUGUGUUUGAGAGUCGGUAAGUCAAGCAAAGAGAGCACUAGCAGAGCAAGUUAGGUACAUAAGUUUGUUUUCCUUCUCAAUUUUUCCAACAACAUAUAUCAGAUCACCACUACCUUACUUGUUUUCAACUGGAAAUAACCCCAACAUGAUAUCAAACAAAUGGGAUAAUUCCACAUUAUACAAUCAUAAUACCGCUAUGUAAUCUAUUCACGUAAAUUACAUAUGAAUAUCAUAAUAGUAACACGUUGCGAUAUCACUGUUAUAUUAGAAAAUUACUAAAUUCGACUUGUCGCAUGCAAUAAUAUAGAGUAGAUAUAUUUUAUUGUGGAAGUCUACAACAAAUUACAGGAUCAUUCUUGGUGCAACAACAACCACCAUAUUAUAUAUAUAUAUAUAUAUAUAUAUUCUAAUAAAAAGACAGAGAAAUUAAAUAUUAUUAUUCAUAGGAUUUUAACGAUUCAACUUGUGCCUUGCCACAAGGCCCCUUCGUCCUAAUGAAAAGUCGAUACUGAUCAAAUGUCAUGGGUGCAUAAAGGGCAGGACGGUCCUUUGUGACAAGCUUCUUGGCAGGUUGGAUCAACAAAUCACUCUUUGGGUUAUAAAACAAGGCCAAAGAGACCCUGUCUUUGACUGAAUUUACAAUCACUCUGUGCUCCACGCUCUUGUAAAUUGCAUUGCUCAGCACCUGCAUUUGGUCUCCAAUGUUCACAAUGAAGGCAUUUGGAACUGGUUUCACUGUAACCCAAUUCUGCCCUUUGCGCACUUGAAGCCCAGCCACAUUUUCAUCAGGCAAAAGAAGGGUCAAGCCACCUGGGUCAGAGUGUUCUGAGAGGCCAAGGGUUAGGUCUGGCUGGGGGCAUUUUGGGUAGAAGUUGACCCUCAAACAUGCCCCAAUGUUUUCUUCUCCUCCAAAUGCGUUGAGAAGCUGGUCUUCCUCUAGCCCAAGGUUUUGUGACAGGAGCUUCAUCAGUGUUCCACAUAGUCUUACAGUUGCCUCACUGUAUUCUUCAAUCAGUUUCCUACAAAAAUUAAUUCAAAAAAUAUUAUUAAAACAUCAACAGACAGCAAAUUAAAAGUUGAUAUUAUACUUUGAGGGGACUCUUCUAAUUUUGGAAGCACUUUCGAAGUGCUAUUUGCAUGUGCUUACUGUAGCUCUAAAUCCUUGUGUUGGGCAUCGAUAUACUUGACGGUGAAGGACAAAAUGAAAGGGCCAAGGGAGGCCUAGAUCUGCUUUUUAGGAAAUUGCCCACUUCGUGCUUUUAGGCAUGCAAUUAACUUAACUUGGUAGAUCCAUUAUAAAAGACUCAGAGCACUAAGCUACAAAGUAUCCAUGUCAAGGGGUUUGGAAAAAACAAGAGAUUUCUUUUUUGUGGCAUUCGUUAUCUCAAGUUUGGAACACAAGAAUACUUUACAUAAAAUCCCUAAAUUCUAUUUAACUUUGAUACUCACAAAUAAAAAGCUUUUUAUUAGAAUAUAUUGAGGAUAUUCUAAAAACUGAAAACAAUACUUAUGAGAUUUACUAUUUUAAGAAAGAAAAAAAGUAUCUAAACUUCAUCAAUUUAAAUUUGCAUAUCUUUUUGUACUAAGAUGUUAAAGUGCAAUUUUCAAGCUCAAAGUUUCAUCAUUGUCCUCCUGCGCCCCCUAACAAAAAGACAAACAAAAGACAAAUAGACCAUUGUCUAGACAAAAAGCAAUGUAUGUAUCAUAUAUGCAAGAAGAGCUAAACACAAUUUGUAAGCCAAUAAAUCACAGCUUCGUAAGUUAUUAAUUCAAGUAAGCUCGAUUGUAAUUAAUGAGAUUCAUACUGAAUCAUUUGCAUGUGUAUCUACACAACAUUUCUUUCACAAUGAAGAAAUCAUAUGUAGCCACCACAUGAAAGGUUGAAUAUACACAACGAAAAGUUCAUAAAAGCACGUUUUCAAUGAAAAACAUGCCUCCCUUUUAAAAUUAUUAUAAUAAUAAAUUAUAAAUAAAUAAAUAAAAAUUUACCUGCAUGAAGAUGGGAGGGCAGGCCACUUGCUAUGGUUUCUGAGGGAGGCGGGCAUAUAAUGGAGAAAGUAAUAGUCGCUCCAGUCCAAAAUAGCCCCCUUCUCAACCCCCAGCCGACUCCCGUACCCUUCGUACGUACUCGGCUUGUUCGAAUACUCCUGCUUCACAUCCAGCGGCAGCCCGAAAAACUCGCGCCAUGUGUCCCUCGCCCGUUUCAUCAGCUCCUCGCUCACCCCGUGGUUCACCACCUGAAAAAACCCCCACUCCCUGCAGGCGCUCGAGAUCGAACGCAGCGUCGUUUCGCGCAGGCUCUCCUCCUGGCUGAGCAGGUUCUGGAGGUCAAUGACCGGGAUGUUGACUUCCACUUCAGCUUGGUUGCAGUUUGCGGGAAGAAGUGAGGGUCGUUUGGUGGGGGGUUUGAUGUAGAGGUCCGGGAUGGCUGUUAUGCCGCUUUCUGCCAAGGACUGGACUCGAACGAUAGGCUCAGGCCAAGACUGCAAGCAAUUCAUUGUUUUUUUUUCUUUGUUAUAACUUAUAAUAAUAUGUUAAAGUGAUGAGAUAUAUUUGUAGCUGCAAUAUCUCUGCAAUAGCUGCAAUGCGAGAGUGAGAGGAGGAGUUUGGAGGCUUAUAUAAAGAAGUGGAGGGGGGUGUGGGUGUGGGGGCUGAGAGCUAGCUAGCUAUAUCUAGUUUCGGCGCCGUGAGCAACUUGAUUUUCUCAUCACCAUAUUUUAAAGAAAAAUACAUAAAUAAUUUGGUACUUGUAAAAUAUAAGUAGAUUCAGAUGCGCUAUAAAUUUUCUCUAUUAUGAUAUGAUUAGGUAAUAUUUGCGUAAAGAUAGAGAGAGGUAUGUACAUAUCUUUGUCUUUAGAGAAUUGGGUUAUUAAUGUUUAAUUUUGAUGUAGAUGAAUAUUAGUUUUGGUCCAUGCUUCAUAUGUUUGGAGUUGAACUGUAUUAUUAUUAUAUAAUACAAGUAGCAAGACGGCAGGUCCAUCAUAUACAUCGUAUGGCUAAUUAAAGCUACACAUAAAAUAAAUAAAAACUACAAGGGGCUUGUGGCUGAGCUUCUAUCAAUCCACCUAUCUUUGUCUUUGUACCUCUCAGUGUGAUAUUUCCCUCAACUUUAUUGAUUUAUGCUGAGCAGUCCAUUUCCAAAAUUUUACAAUUACGUGUAAUUUUAAUUCAUAUAUAUUCCCAAAUUAUAAGAGCAUGAGGUGUUAUGUGUCAUAAGCUCAUUCCUCCUUACUCAAAAAACUUAUCGAUAUUACUACUUUUGCAUAAUACUUUCUUAUUCGUCGUUUAAGUCUUCUUCUAAACAAUGAAAGUAACUAUAACACUCAAGAUUUUUUUUUUUGUCAUUUAUCUCGUACACUAACGUCGUCGCAUUAUCUGUUAUAUCAUUAAAUUAUCAUCAAAUUUAAAUAAAAAAUUAUUAUUUUUCUUCAAUAUUACUGUUCUUAAUUACUUUUUGUUGUUUCUUUUUUGAAAUCAACUUUGUAUCGAUUUUCUUCUGGCUGAUCGUAUAGCUGACAGCAAAUGAAUAUCCUCCACAUACUCUGCUAUUCAUUUGUGGACCAAUUCUCCAGUUGCACUACUGUUUCGAUAAAACAAGUAGACAAGACAAGACAAGUCAUCCAAAUUCCAUUUUCUUUUUGCUUGCUCUCACGUUGCUAUAAUGUCUCCACUUAUUAAGAGCUCCAUAUAUGGUUGGAAUAGGAACCUCAUUACAUUGCCUCUCUUAAAACCUACCAAAACUAGCAAAUUCUUAUCAUCUUACAUUAGAACGAGUAAUUGAGGGGCCUUUCAAAUCACAUUCCAUCAGCUACCCAAGUUAAUUCAAUUAGCUAGGGGAGCAUUUUUCUCAUCACUUUAACUCAACAUAUAUCAUCGCAAUCCUUUUCAACAUCUGACAUGUGUACAUGGACAUAACCAUAGUUCCACAAAUACAAAGUAAAUAGUUAGGGUUAUGCUCAUGAACACGUGUCAAAUAUUGAGAAGAAUGAUAAAAAUAUACUUUUAGUUAAAAUAGUGAGCAAAAAUAAACUAUAUAUAAACUUUUGAAGUGUAUGUACAAUGUAACCCUACUAUAUCUUGUCUACCUUAUUUUUGCCAGGUCACGUGGACUGUCUUCCACUUGCAUUUCAUAGUAAGUUACAAAUCAUUUACACAUUUUUUUUACCUUUACCAAUUCAACCAAAAGAAAAUAGACGAGAAAUGUCAUCGAAGCUUCAUUGCUCUGGAAAAGUAAAAAGUAAAAAAUAGUAAUAACAUUUCCUUCCUCUUUCCUUUUGUCUUAUUCAUGAAAUUGGAACUUAAUUGGGAUCAAAAUAAUUAAAAAUCCAUCCACGAAUCAAAUCAACACUAUAAAUCAUUAGUCGUGCAUGUGAAUGUGAUCAUCAAUGUCAGUGUCGAAUAUCUUUUUUGUUUUUUUGUUUUCUUUUUUCAAAACACAUUUGUGGCUAAUUGAGUCACGAAUCAUUUACACAACUGGGUUUGUUUGCCUUAAGCUUCCGUGGAGGAAAGCAAUUCCGGCUGCAGCACAAGCAACGUUACGUUAGCUAGGGUUCUGAGAAUAUAUAUCAAUGUCAAUCUAGUAUCGACCGCAAUUUUACAGUACAUUAAUAUUAGAAUAUGUAGAGAGGAGUACAAGUCUCCAAAGAUAAUGUUUUGGCCGACAUCAUUUGCAUCACGUGGGAAAUUCGAAAAGAAAAUGUGUGACAUUAUGGAGAUGAUGAGAUCACUCUGCCCCUAUCCCCUUGGCCUUCCAGAAUCGGAUGUCCCCGAAGACCUUUUCUUUUUCUUUUUUUUGGUGUGAUAGAGAUGCCAUUAAAAACAAAUUAAAAAUAAAACUAGAAGGGUAGUGGUAGGAGUAUAAUUGGAAGUUUGUCAUUGACAAUUUCAUUAUAAAAUGCUUUUAUAAUCUUUAAAAAAACUCGUAAUCUUUGUUUAUGGGUAGGUUUUAUUUCACCAAACCAUAUUUAAAAGAUUUGGCAGUUUAAAAGUGGUGGGACUCCUAGUCUCCUACUCUCCUAACCUAGUUUUAUAUUUAUUUGCAAGGACACGCAGUGUGAAAUUAUAAAUUUGUUUUUUUUCAUUUUUAAUUUUUUAUGUUAUCACGUGAAGGGGUUAUAAUAUUUUCUAAGUGUAUAUAUAUAUAGAGCUUCCAUUGAAGGAUCUCUCAAAUAAUACUCUUGUAGAGUCUACUACGCGUUGUAUUUCACUAAUCUAAACCGUCUAUUUUGUAGAUAUUCAUUUAAAGAUUAUCUCCACAAAUCCGAUAUCAUUUGACCACUCAAUUAAAUUAUUGAAAUUUGAGUACUUUCUUGAAGAACUGUGUUCAUUGAUUUUAUUGGUCUCAAUUAGAUGCCUUAAUAAUUUUUAAUGUGCAUGAAUUUUUGCAAAAAUGAUCUUUGAAUGAAGAUAUAAAAAAUAGAUGAUUUAGAUCGUUGAAAAAAAAAUUGUAAAAAAUCUCUUAAUAAAAAGGGACUAUAUAUAUGUGGACAAUACAUACAUGUGUUCUCCUUGAAUUUACUAAUGACUUUUGAUGUAGCUAUCGAUUGAAGCUCAAGUUGUUGAGUUCCAUUGUAAUCUUCCUCAGCCUUUAUAAUUUAUUAUUUAAGUAGUUGAAGUGCAAAGUAUAUGAACACGUAGCUAGCUAUAGUUUUGGUGGUAGAUACUAAGUUCCGCCAUUUCUGGAAAAUUGUAAGAUGAUAUCAAACUGGGGUGGGUAGGUAGGUAUGUAUGUAGGUUUAAAAUAAUAAAAAAAUAUAAAAAACCCUAUAUUUUUCCCUGAGCUGCCAACCUUUUUGAUAGGUUAUUCUGUAAGGAGGUUGAAAGAGUCGGUCCCAAAAAAACACAUACAGUAGGGUGACUUUGAUCUUAUAUAUCUUGCAGAGCUUAAGGCAGGGCAUGGAUCUGCCGUAACGUGCUGUUAAAGAUCAUGACAGAUGUUGAUAAUAAUGAAAUUAGACAACUUAAACUUGAUUAAUAUUUGGGUUUAAGUCAACUUGAACUGUAUUAUGAAUGAGAAAUGUAAAAAAAAGGAAAAAAAAUCAAACACAUGUUAUGUGGUUCUUGUUUUAAAUAUAUAACUGAAAUUAAAAAUAAAAAAAAAGACAUAAUUAUAGGAUAAAUCAGCGCUAUAUAAACCAAUAAUGAAGCGAUUCUUCUUUGGGCACGUGAUGAAAUUCAUCAUAAUCUGCAUUUCAGAGUCAAUCACUUUCCAUCAAAAGUCCUGGGUUUUGAAUAUUAUGCUAUGCCUAUAAUUUUCGUCCUUUGCUUAAUCCAUCUGGUUUCAACAUACAUUAGAUGAUAGUCUUCUGUUGACUGAGAACGACAUGCUUAAAAGUACAACUUUGCCCCUUACCAUUUUAGCGGAAAUACAUAUACAAGAUUCAUGAAUGAGAAUGUAUACAUGUUGUUGAUCAAGUCAAAAUUUGAAUGUGCCUUCUUUUUCUUGGUUCAGAUUACAUAUAAAAUGUUGGAUGGGAAGAUAUUUUCAAAUGCACAAGAGAUUUUUCAAAGACAUGUCGGGGAAAGAGCACAGUUUCUAUUUCUAGCUAGGCUAGACUUAAAAACAGCAUCCAAUUUGUUUUUAGCACCUGAAAUUGAGCUUUUUUUACGCCAAAUAAACAUUGCCUUUUUGGCUUUUCACAAUUCUUUUCUUGUAUUUUAUCGGACGAACGUAUAUAUCUUUGUAAUGAACGGUUAUACAUUGGCAUGCAAUAUCUGGAGGGUAUGGGGUGAAUUCAGAUGGAUUGGAAGGGACACGUGCCAAACCUCCAAUGAUCCUAUCCAAUCACAUGGUGGUGGGAGGCAAUCUCUCACGUGAAGUCCCAUGCCCCAUGCCCCAUCCAUAUGCUCGUGCUUCAUGUCUCUGGUCCCAGUCAGUGGCGCAUGCAUGAAUUUUCUUUUCUUGGGGCAAGAAAACACUACUAUCAAGUUACUAAUUAGUGAAGAUCAUGUUAAGAUUUUAGAGGUACGGAUUAUUGGCCCACCACUAGCAAUAUCGAUAUUGUUCUCAACUUAACCACCUGUUUAGUAAGUGUGAGGUUUUAUACAAAAAGCCUUGAUGUUAUUGGGAGUGGAACUAUUUAUUAUAUGAGACUUUCUAUUUUGUUAAGUUUUCGAUGUGGGACUCGGGUAUUCUUCAACAUUGAUGUUGCUAGUGGUGGGUCAAGGGUCCGUCCCUCUGAAAUCUUAACAUGGUAUCAGAGCGGGUUGGUUGACUGGGCCCGAUUAAACCAAAUCAAACAAAAACCCCAAAUUGAAUCAAAAUCAAACAAACCCCAAAUUUAAUAAUUUUUUUUUUUUAAAAAGUGACCGAUAUGGAAUUGGUUGCACGUGUGGCUCACUAAAAAGUAGUCCCACGUGAGUAGGAGUGUUGAAGAAUACACGAAUUCCACAUCGGAAACUUAACAAAAUAUAGAAAGUCCCAUAAAAUAACCGGUUCUACUCCUAAUAACAUCGAGGCCUUUUGUAUAAAACUCCACACCUGCUAAACAUGUGAUUAAGUUGGGGACAAUGUCGAUGUUGCUAGUGGUGAGCCAAGGGUCCGUCCUUCCGAAAUCUUAACAGAUCAAUCAACUCUUGGAUGUAUUAAAAAUAAUCAUAUAAACAUAUACUUGCACAAAUUAGUGACACAAACUUUACACAUUCUACCUAGUUCCUCUAUUGCACGACACAAAGAAGAAUAACAUAAGUAGAGCAGUAGAGCAGGCUGCCAAUGGGGUCAUACCAUAGUGAAAAAGUAUGUUUGGCCUAAGACUAGUGAUCUCAGGUUCAAAAUUCUUAGGCACCAAUAUAUGUAAGUAAAUUCCUCUCCCCCUUUCCACCUUUGACCCAAAGAAGAAGAAGAAAAGAGAAGUAGAGCAAGCCACCCCCUUUGCCCUGCCUUAGUCUUCUUUGAGGAAGUUGAUCAAACAACUUGCCUGACAUUCUCCCAUUCAAUACAAACUUUCAUAACAAUUUGGCACCUUCACAGGGCAAGUGCCUUCAUUGGACUCUUAAUGGAUCCGCCAAUGGUCCCAGUGUGCAUGUUUCACCCUAAACCACAACCCCUUUGGGAGCCAUGAAAAUGUAGGUGAUUAGUCAAUUAAUAAAUGUCAAUCACCGUUGCAAUGAUGUAAGAGUAACAGACAAAAUGCAGACUUGAGUAGACAACUUUCACCGACUUGAUUUAACCCGGUUCCAAGUUCGAAUCAUCUCUUUUUAUUAUGUGGUUCAAAAAGGUUUCAAUUGAACCUAAUCUGAGGAUUUCAAAACCGAAUUCUCUUCGAAGUGAAUAUUUUUACUGCCAAUUGAUGGCAUCGAGUUGAUGUGUUCUAAUUGUAGAAAUAAUGUACAAGAACAUGGAGACGUUUAGUACAAUGCAACAUGUUUAACAAAAAGAGUUCCACCACACAUACAGAUUCUUUUUUGGUAAUAUAUUUCACCACUCUUCUGUCUAGCCCGAAUAUGGGAAUCAAACUGAAUGAUUGAAAUCUUUUGUGCCGCACUUGAUCUCAUAGAAUGUGAAUCGAUCCUCAAGAGCAGAAUGCCGAUCCUUAUUAGUUAUUAGGUUUUACAAUCCCACAUCACAUCAGUAUACAUUUCUUAACUACAUAAAGAAAGUUGUUUCCUGUGUGCACAUGUCAUGCUGUUAGAGAUCAAAUCAAACCCACAAAAUUGUCACUGUUGAAGCAAAAUAUCUACUGAUCCUAAGUCAAAUAAUUAAGCCAAUCAAUUUAGGAAUUAUUUGGCCUAAUUGAGAGUUAUUUGAUUUAAUUGGUUUUGCAGAGAGAGAGAUAAGCGAAGAGGAAGACGGAAUCUUAGAUGAAUAUUCUCGUAGAAUAUAAAAUCGCUCCCACAGUCACUCUAAAGUCUAAACAGAACAUCGAUCAAUCCAUUUGCUCUUAAUUUGUUUUAAUGAUAAUUAUAUAUUAAUUCCAUGCAUUGAUUUUAACAUAAUCUUUUCAAGAAACAAGAAGGUGAAAUAGACAAAGUUAACUUAUGCAUGGUUCAUAUGAUGACGACAAUGCAUGGUUUAUGCACCACUUUAAAAAAUAAAAUAAAAAAACCAUUGUGGGGUUGCAUGUCCACUAAUUUUACCUGUAAGUGAUGCUGCACUUUGUGGACUAGACAAAAAGUAAAGGAAGAAGGAGCAUUUUCCUUUUGUCCCGGCCAUGUUAUUACUAGUGUUUUUCCAGUUUGACCAUUCAAGGAUGCAAAGCAAAGCAUGGGAAAUGAGAAACUUAUUCAUUUUGCUUGGCUAAGUUUUCGUUCACCAGUGGAAUUGAUUUGACCAAAUUAAAGUAGAAAACUUUUGUAUAUCUUUCUGAAGUUUGCAGCAAACACAAGGAAGAAGGAAGAAGGCAUGAAGAUGCUUGAAGAUGCUGUUCUUAUCGCUAUCUUUUCUUUUUUAUUUAAAGAGGAGGACAGUCAUGACUCAAACUCUCCAUUUCCUGCCUGUGGUGGAGUUUGGGGAUGCAUCACUGAGGUGUAUGUGUCCCCUUCAGGGACUAUUCGUCGCAUCAAUUUAAUUACAAGAUUAAUUAAGAGAUUUUGAUUGAGUUGUCUACUCCAACAAAAAUUGGUGUGAACUCAAAAAAAAUAAAAAUAAAAAGAUUUUAAAACGUGAUAGUAUUUUUGACAUGCUGCCUAGAUUAUGAUAAAGAAACAUUAAGCUCAUGAAGCUCCUUUUAAAUAAAAUAAAAUAUAUUUAUGCAUUCUUUUAUCAAUAAUUGAUCAAAGUAGCUAGGUUAUAAUCAGUUCUUUUUGUUAAGCAAAUUGUCUAGUAUUUCAAUUUAAUAGAUAAGCCUAAUGCACCAUCAUUCAUCUGACCUAAUUUACGUCUGCCUCUAAAAAUCGAAGCGUAACUAGUUAAACUGAUAUGUAUUCUUCUAGUUGUUUGGUUCUAUUUUAUAAAUUUUGGGGGUUUCAGAGAGAUCCUCUGAUGAAUUGAUGAGCAUGGGAUUAACACUUUCUAUAGAUAAAUUAUAAUAUUAAAAAAGAAAAAAGAGAGAGUUUAACUAUAAGAUGCCCAAAUCAAUCAGCACAGCAUCUAGAACUUCAAAAUCAAUUGUGGCUCAAAUGAAUUCACCUGGAUAUAAACAUAAACAAAGACAAUGGGAGUGAGAUUGUGGAGCUUCCACAAUGUGGAAAUCUAUCCAAGUUGCACUGUUUUUUAUUUUUAUUGUUUAUGAGAAAAAGUGGACACACCAGGCAGCAAAGCAAUAGCUGCCAACCAACCAUAAAUUGGGGGUUAUCUGUGGAAGAUAAUGGUGAAAAUAAACUUAUUAAAGUGCAUAGUUUGGCCCAUUUGGGAGAUUAAAAAUAGUGCAUUAUUAUAAUUUGAUUGAGAUGGGCCUAUUUGGCAUCUUCAUCUUGUGCUUCACCAUGAUAUUGAUAGAGACUGACUGUAGUCCUGGCUGCGCCGGAUAAGACGAUAAAUUCAUGGAGUUAAUGGAACAGAGCUGUCAAGAAGAACACUCGUGUUCUUUUUUGGGUUUCUUCCUCGUAUACAAAUUCAAAUACAACUAUACGUAUAGAAUAAUACCAUCACCUUGUAAACAUACCCAUUUCUUUUGUAUUGGGGAAAAUGCGGGGCUAGAAGCCUUAGAAGCCUAGAAGCCCAACAACAACUCAUUUUAAUCGAAGCACACUACAAGACCAUAUUUCUUUGAAAAGUAUAACACAAUACGACAUAGUUGAAUCCAAUAUGAUCAAGCAAAAUACAGCUACAGAAGAAGGUUGGAGUGGACAAGAAUAGGACAGAAUCAUACACGCUGUGCCAUAGCUACGAGGUACCAUGUGUUUUACACGAUUAAAUGCUCGCCGUGACAAAAUAAGUGUUCCCGGGCCCCUCCAGGAUCCUUGUAUGGCAGGCACCCAAGCAAAAAGGAGCCCCAUCCUAAAUCAAGGGACCCUAACAAUAAUCACAAAAGAAAGCAGGCAGAUGAUGUGCCGGAAAUGACCCGAUACUUCUUUUGUAUCAAUAAUCCAAUGACUGAACUUGUCUAUGUUUCACUCAUUCCCCAAAUUUAUGGACCCAUCCUUCAUCAGUUUUAUGCUUAGACUGUUGAAUCUCCCUCUUGAGUAAUGUCGAGAAGCCUUUCUCCAGUCUGUCCCAGUUUUCAUCAUGGCGACAAAUUCGUCAUAGCUGAUAAGCCCAUCCUGCAUCCAUAAAACAAAAACAUCAGUUAGUCAUCUCAAAUAUCAUAGCCUAGGGUCAUAGGAAACUCUUCCUUGGGUCCUCACCUUGUCUGUGUCCACUUCUUGAAAGAUGUCAUUUGCUACAUCUGUACAAUCAUCUGCCCCAUCUUCCAUCAGUGCAUCGCGGAGCUCGUCUGGCUCAAUGUAGCCGUUGCUAUUUUUGUCAAAGUAGGAAAAUGCCUUGUGAAGAUGUUCAUCGUUGGCCAUUCUCUGUAGGUGGAGGGAAACAGCAAUAAAUUCUCCGUAGUCCAGGGUUCCCUUCCCAUUAGUAUCAACCUGUUACCAACAAACUCGCCAAAUUAAAACCAGAAGAGACUGAUUUACCACUGGAAAUUAUCUCAUUCAGUAGUUUUCAAGAGUGACCCAGGAACAAGGGCAACUAAAACAGGAAAGAGAGACACAAUACAACAAGAAGAUAUGCUUUAUCAUCACCUUUACCCAUACAACAACUACAUUACCUUUUCCAUCAAAACACAAAAUUUGUGUUCAAAGUCAAAAAAUUUGGGUUUAGAAUUCUAGGUACAUGCAAGGAAUGUCUUGAUGUUAAAGGUGCCUAAGAAGGUGUUGUCCACAUGAAGACCAGUGCAUUUCUAAAGGUGCCUAUGCUACUUGCAAUCGAACAACCUAGGAAUGCAUCUAGAACCAACCUCCAUGAAGGAUAACUUUCUAAUCCACCAGAACUAUGGACGAAUUGGUCAUAUUCCUAAGAAUGCAUCCGUACAGUAUUGCUAGUCCACCCAAGGUACUACAAGAAAAAAUUGUUUCCUAGGACUGUCCUUAGAAUUACAAGUGUAUUACAGUAUAGGUUGAAUGUGUUAACUAGGUAAUAAAUCGAUAUCUACGCCAAUAAAACUUAAGUCAUCAGGUUAGGAGGCUCAUUUGAUACUUAAAUAUCAAAUACGGUAUCUAACCAAUGCGUAUUCCCUUUAACACCCUCUCACGUCUGCAUCUAAUUAAAGUAAACAAUCGAGAACCAUAUCUAACUAAUAAAAGAUUAUGGAUCAUGAAAAGACCAAUAUCAAUUUCAACUGUUUGAUGUGUAAUAGAUUAUGUCAUAGUUGACCUCACGCUAGAGGUACUGUUGAAAGCAAAAUAUGAAGCAAUACUCACAGCUUCAAUAAGCAAUUGAACUUCAGACUCGGCAAGUUGGGAUCCAAAAUUUCGAAGUCCAGAUUUUAACUCUUCAAUUGACACAAUGCCAUCAUUAUCAGUGUCUAUCUUCUUAAACAUCUCCUUAAUGUCUUCAACUUCAUCAAUGGAAAAGAAAUCCGCAAUAACCUGUUUGAAGUCCCACUUAAAUUAGUCCUUGCAUUGAACCAUACUACAUAAUAGCAAACACAUAAGAAAGUUUGUAAGAGCAGUCAACCAACCCUCAGGGCUUUUCUUUUGAAUCUGUUCAUCAUUGAAAACUGCUUAAGCCUUGACUUGACAACAUCUCCAAGGGGAAUGUUUGGAGCUUUCUUAGCAUUUUGGAGCCAAGGAUGCUCUGGAAAAAGAGAAAUUACCACAGAUCAGGUAUAACAUAAAUGAAGCAAGAUAUAACAACAUUUUAUGGUCGUACGGCAAAAGCUGUACAUAGCAGUGGUCCUAUAUCUGGAGACUGACAGAUUUUCCAUACACAGGAUGUCCGUUAAGAUCAGAAAUGUAGAUACUCACACCAAUGCAUUGUUUGUGCACGUGUGUAUCAUACCUUAUUAACAUGUCAAAAUUUCUUUAUCAUGUACCAAGAUCCCUAUCUAGAGUUUGUUGAAACGCAAUAUUUGACAUACAUUUCAAAUCAUAUAUACAAGAUAGCAACCUCAGCAUAAUCUCUUCUUAAUAUAAAUAAGGGCUUGCUCAAUUGCCACAUUUUCAACGUGCAAUGGAUCCAUAUCACAUCUAAUUAUCACAAAGAGAUGCAAAUUACCAAGCACUUGCUUUGCAGUCAAUCGUAGCUUUGGGUCUGGCUCCAACAUUUGCCUAACUAAACUCUUGGCACUCUCCGAAAUAUUGGGCCAUGGAUCACGUUUGAAAUCUAUCAGUCCACGAAGAAUUGCCUGUGCAACCCCUUGUUCAGACUCUGCAUAGAAGUACAAAAAGGUAAAUGGAAACCUCUUAACAGAGAAAGCUCCCAUCCCGCAGGGGGAGGAGGAAAGAAAGGGGGGAGGAGCAAGUGGGAGAUAUAAUUACCCGCCCAAAAAGGGGGAACCCCACACAAUAAAAUAUAGAGUAUAACUCCUGCACUCCAUAUAUCUAUUUCUGGCCCAUAAUUCCGCUUGAGAACCUCAGGAGCCAUGUAAUAUGGACUUCCAACAAUUUCUGAGAAUCUCUCACCUAGAAUGUGGAAAAGUUAAUAAUCUGAUAACAUACAUAUGACAAGAAUAUAUACCCAUAUUAGCAUAAUUAGGAAAAACAGUUGAAAAUUCAUGCCUGCAAUGUUAUAGUUUUUAAUAACAGUAACAAUAGUUCAGAGUUUCUAGACUUAGCACACAAAAUAGAUAUUAAGAAAAAUCUAUUUCUUUUCAACUUCCUGUUCAUAGUUGGACAUUAUUGUUGUAACUCAUAGACUUUCCACGUAGUAAAUUCUUUGUUUCAUAUCAGAAAAAGGAAAAACUUAUCUCUUCAACCACUCUACAUGUUCUGUUGCUUGAGUAUCCAUCUCUUAAAACAUAUCAAUAUCAUCACAUUAUGUUGUUCUCAAUUUAGUGGUAUGUUAAGCUGUUAGCCUGUUACUUUAUUCCACUGGUAGCUAAGAGCAUCCACAAUGGGCUCCCUAAACCACCUCCUUAGACAAAUUUUAGGGAGGAAUCGUAAAAAUGCAACUCCAACCACGCUCCCUAUCCACCUCCUAAAAUAGGGAGCCCUCUAGGAGCUCCCAAAUCUGAGGAGAGAGAAAAGACUCCUAGUGGCUGCCUAUAAUUUAAUGCUGCUUUAUUUAAUGAGUAUUUCAAACCUUUAUUUAAUGCUAACUAUUUUUUAUUUUAUUUUUUAAUAGAGAUAGACCAAUCAAAAAAGAGUUAUAGCAUUUACGACUCUCCAAAUUAGGGAGUAUGGUUGGAGUUGAAAUUUUUUAGAGAGCUCCUAAAAUAGCUUUCUUAUAUUCUUAGCCAAAUUUUAGCUAAGAAAUAGAGAGCAUCAUUGUGGAUGCUCUAAUUUAAAGAACUUUUUCAAGCUUUUUCAUUACUUGAACAAAGGGGAAUCUACAAGGUAGGAGCGGUCAAAGAGAAGUGCAAAAUAUAAGAGGGAGAAUUGAUUGCAACAAUGAAACUUCUCUAAUAUGGAACUUGGAUAACAAGAUUACAUGUAUUAUUAGAAGUUCAUUCUUAAUCAUGAAUUCUGCAGUCAUCCUUCAUCUCCUACUCCCAUAAACCAACCAAUACAUCACCCCACCUUUCCCCCCCUCCUCCUCUCAAAUGAAUUCUUACGGUACACAUACAAUUCUUUGAUUGCAACUUAACAAUGGCAAUCUUGAAAUAUGGCGUUUCUAACUGUAAGAGCCACAUCAGCAUCCAUUUGUGCACAGCAUUGGACAAUAGAAUAAACAACAAAAAUGCGAGUACUGUACAGGGUAACUACAGGCAAUUAAGGUAAACAAAAUAUAGAAUUCAUUGAAGAUUAAAAAAAAAUUAUAUCCAUACUUGAGCCAAAUAUAGUAAGCCAAUUAUGUCUUCAAGGUAGUCACAAUCAAAACUUUCUAAGUUACUAUAUGCAGUAGAGAUAGUUUCAAUUAGCAUUGCAAAAUCAGAAACCCUAAAUUCAAAUUCAUACCUGGCUUGAAGAAUAUAGACAGGCCGAAAUCAAUGGCCUUUAGAGGCGAAUUCUCCUUCUUGUUCGCAAACAAGAAGUUCUCGGGCUUCAAGUCCCUAUGAAUCACUCCAUGCUUGUGACAGAGCUGCACGACCUCAACAAUGGUCCUGGUGACCGCCGCGGCAGCUCGCUCCGUAUAAUGCCCCCUCGCCACAAUCCGAUCGAAGAGCUCACCGCCCUCGCACAACUCCAUCACCAAAUGCACGGCAUUUUCGUCCUCACAAGCCUCCUUCAAGCUCACGAUGCUCGAAUUCUUCGGCAAAUGCUUCAUAAUCGCCACUUCGCGCCUCACAUCCUCGAUGUCCACUGCGGUCCUGAGCUUCCGCUUCGAAAUGCUCUUGCAGGCCAAGAGCUCACGACUGUGGCGGUCGAUACAGAGGUACGUGACGCCAAACUCGCCGCGGCCGAGCUCUCGAUCCACCAAGUACUUCUCCUCGAUGUUCUCCUUGGGCACGCCGGUCAACACUGUCGUCGGAGCCUUCUUCCCGGCGCUGGAGUCCCUCCGGCCGUGAUCGUGGCCGGAAAAGUUCGAUUUCACGUCCUCCCUGGCGACGGCGGCCGGAGAUCUGCAACAAUUGCCCAUUGCGAAGCGCGCGCUUGGUAGCUCUGCACGGAUCUCGCCAAAACCCUAACUAGCGCUAGGCAAGCUAGGGUUUCACAUGAUAAUGCCGAAACCCAAGCCUUGUGAGAGAGAAAGAGAGAGAACAGCAGCAGAGUAGUCUGAACUGUGAAAUCAAAGCAAAUGCGAGAGAAAGAGGGGAAAAGAGAGAAAAUGGUCUGCAAAAGAUAGUGAGGGUGUAUGGUGUACCUUAGUUGUAGAGUGAAGAAGAGAGUGAGAGUGAUGGUGUUUUGGAGAUUUUUUUUAUAUUAAUUUUUAUUUUACGUAAUUAUUAAUUUGAAAUAAAGAAAAAAAAUUAAAAAAUUUUGAAGAAUAUUUUAUGUUCUUCUUUGGUUCUGUGAAUUUUGUCGGGUCAUCGAGAAGGAGGGUUUGAACGGUCGGAACGGGACGGUGUGAGUGGGGGGAAAACAGAGAGGACGAUGGGUUGGCGUUGGCGUUGGCGUUGGCCGUUGGGGGUUGUUUGUUCGUUUGUUUGUUUAUAAUGAAAUUGUUGGUGGCCUUAGGUUUGCCGUUUAAUUAAUUUGUGAUAAAUUUAACCCAACACCUAGAGCUAGAAGGCAGAGGCCAGGCCCAGGGGCCACAGGCUAGACAACAGACAGAAUGAUAGGGCUUAAUUAAAUAAUCAACUUUAUUUUGCUGCCCCUGAGCUUGUGGGAAUUCACUAUUCUGCCUUAAGUAAUUUGGCAAUUUAGAUUUCUGUCUCAGUUCUUAAAUCUGUUUUUUCAUUAAAAAAUUUAACCAAUUAUAAAUUUAAGAAGGAAAAAAAUGGGUGAUCUUUGGGUUUCUAAUUUUGAUUCAUGAUUAGUAUAGGGAGGAUAUUUGCAAACAAUGUGUAUAUAACAUUUUUUUUUGUUGAGUUUUACAUAUGAAUCACGUGAUAAGUCGUCACAAGAAAAACGUUAUAUACACUUGUUGUACGCAAAAAUUCCAUAUAACGUAAAAGAUUAAGUGAGAUUUGAAAGUUGUUUUUUGAUUUGAAAAUAUUGGGAAAACAUUAACCAGCUGAUUUACCAACUUGAAAGGUAGCCUUGCUAAUGAAAUGCUAUAAAAUUUCUUUGAUUAAUAUCAUCAAUUAUGGAUGCCAAAACAAUGCCAUUAAACUUUAAGGGAAAUAUGCCAAAAGUGAAAGUGGUAACGUGCAAAAAAUGGAAACAAAUUGAGAGAUUGUAACAAAAAAGAGACACAAACAACAUUGACCUACAUCCAUAUUAUGUUGAGCAAGGGUUUUAAUGUAAAGAGAUUGAGUGUGGUGGGUUUUAAUUAGAAUUAACAAAGUUUGAAGUGCCUAAAUAAGAUUGAGGUGAAUAAUUGGAGCACGAUGAGAAAAAGCCAAACACAAAAAGAAAAGAGAGUGAGAAUUAAGGAGAAGAUGCUGCAUGUUGUCUGUUUUUAGCCCAGAAUUAGAGAUUAAAGGUGGGGGGAGGGGCCUUGUUGUCUGUUCUCUCUCUCUCUCUUUCUCUCUCUCUCUCUCGGACUGAGUACGUGGGUCUCAUUUAGCAACCGGCUUUCAACUUUUUUUGAUUUUGCUUCCAUUUUGAUUUGCUUGCUUCCUCAUGAAGAACUUGAUUUGUGGGGGCGUAAAUGAAUAAUGAAAAUAAUGAAUGGCUUGGUUUUGAACUUUGAAUUAGUGUGGGGUUUUGUAUGAAUUGCUGGGUCCAAUUUGUUGUAUAACACAAGGUUUGCCUUUCCAAGUUUGAUCUCAAUUAAGUUGCUGCUUAAUUAUUUCGAAAGCAAUUGUGACCAACAGAACUUCUCGAGGAAAAAGCAAUUAUGGCAUAAUAUUUGCUUGUGUAAAGUUGGAACAAGGGCGACCUGCAAUGUCUCCAAGUACAGAAUGCAGCCGAAAAACCAAACGACAAGACUUGUGGGAAAAAAAACUCUUUCAACUCUCUCUGAUUCAUUAGUAACAACAGCAGUGAAGGUCACACAUGCGUACCAUUCAAUUAUAAAAGCAAACCAAGCCCCAAAAAACCUCUCCAAUGAAACAUACACAUAUAGCUAGACAAUAUGAUGUCGUUGACAUGUUCUUAUACGGAGGGGAAAGUCCAUACAAAAUCUCAACAUUAGUUCAGAGAAUGUUGGGGAGUGGAGACGCACCUAAAAUUCAUACGAAAAAGUGUAUAACUCUACGUUACAUAUACUCGUUUGUAUAUCACCACUUUUUAUAUAUAUCUUUUCACUUAAAGUUUUUCUUGUAUACAAGAUACUCACUUCAUUUGUUGUCUAUCAGUUACACACAAAAAACAUGACUAAAAAGGAAGUAAAAAAUGCAUGAGAUAACAAAUAUAUCUCUACUCUCUACCCAAUUCAAUGCUGUUUAAGUGUGUAAUGUGCUUUAGUUGAUUAGUUCACCAUGCUCCAUCACCCUUCGCGUUUACAUAAUGAAAUUUCCCAAAUAGAAAAAGGCACAAAAAAUAUAAGGAGAAAGAAGACUUUUUUUCUACAACUUCACUUUGCGAGAGUAAUGCGGUCGAUGCAAGUGGAUCCCACAACGCCUUCAAGACCGGCAUUAUCGCACAUGAACAACUGUUCCUAGCAAAACUCAAUGACUUACAAUGUGAAAAUCAAAUAGAGUGUGAGUGAGAUAUAUACUAUUUAUGAUAUGGAUCAAGAUUUGAAUAUAUAUGUGAAAGCCAACACACUCUUGCGGGCUGUACAUAUAGAAUGCCUGCUUAUAUUGAAGUUGCAGAAGAAUAAUGAUUAUGUUGAUAAUAAUAAUAAGCUCUGUGUGUGUGUGUGUUGUGUUGUGGGUUGCGUCUUUACAGCUCCUUUGGCUUGGCUUGACUUGAAAGCCUGGUGGACUUUAUGAGGUUGAUCACGUAAUUUCCGAAAAUGUGAGACCUACUACCAGCAAUUGAGGAAGCAAAAGUCAAAGAGUAGAAUUGAUUAAGAUCAAAGUAUCGCAAUCAGAUAUUAAAAGAACAACUUCAUGUAAACUUCUCUGGAAUAUUUUACAUACGUAGGCUGCUUCGUCAUCUCUUGUGUCUUGUUUCAAAUUGAUGCAACAUCGCCAAAGUACUACAAUACAAGCUAACUAACUUGCUUUGCUCCCAAGACAUCUAUUACAGCUCAGCUAAGGUUUCAGCCUUUCAGAACGAUACAACACAGAUAUUUUUGCCAAUUUCUUAUCACAUAGUUGGGCUCCAUUGCUGACGUCAAAUUUCCUCAUCUCUCUCUCUCUCUCUCUCUCUCUCACAUAUGCUGAUGUGUCCCAUAUACUUAUUUAUUGCAUAUGUUCUGCACAUGACACAUAUUACAAAUGUGUAAAUGCAACGCUACAUCCGAACUAACUUAACGUGUUAGUGAGUAAUUUUUUAGUGUGACACUUAUCUCGUCACGUAAUGUUAUCAAAUCACUCAUAUUAUGACACAUAUAAUUCUCAUAUAAAACUAAAACAAGCUAAUCAAUGACAACACUCAAUAAGCAAAGGCCAAUUGAUGCAUAACGCAAAUUCUCAUAUAAUUGUAUAAGUGGUAAUUCCACACGUGAGGUUGUAUUGGUGUUAGAUAUCAUGAGCCUAGAGUAUUCAAAAUUUAUUAAUAUCCAUUAAUACGACCAUUAGGUUUGCUUAAAGAAACGUAUGAUCUCAUGGUUUUCGUGUGAAUACCAACCAAAAAAAUUUAGAAGCUCCAAACGGGUCAAGACAAAUCAUCUUUGGAUUUGACUUUAAUUUGUUAAAACAGUAAUCCAAAGGCAUAAUCCGAGGUUAAUUUCCUGCGUGACCAACGCUUUUGAUCAGGACACGAAUCCAAUAUUCUGAUCGAGAGGUCCCCAUUUCAGAUGAUCAACCACGGGGGUUCAUGGACAUGUACUUGCACACACCAUUGACUUGUUCAUCAAUUUGAAUAUAAUUUCAACCCAAGUCGUUGAAUUUUUAUAAUAACCCUAAGAAUUUGAAGGAGUAAACUCAUACCUAUUCUCCACUUUGCGUUAGUCAAAGUCAUUUCAAUUUCCAACUACAAAUAUUGACGUUCGGCAAAAGAAAAACUACAAAUAUAUGCAUUGUCAUUUUCGUUCCUUUUCCCCCUACUAUAUGUUAUGUAUUUUUUUUGGGUAAUUUGACUAUACAUUUUGCAGUUGGUGAAAUGUGUUCACCAAAAUCUAGAUUUGAAAGUAUCCAAAGUCUGAGGAAAUAUCAAAGGGCUAGAAUAUAGGUAUCCUAAACAUAUUUUAACACUUAUAAAUUAAGACUCGGUUGUUACAAGUAAGAUUGGGAUAAGGAGAAAUCAAAAAUAGGAUGCAAACGGUAAAUCAGUGGCGGAGCCAGGAUUUUAUGUAUGGAGGGGCCAAUAUAUUAGGGUUUAAGGUUGAUUUCUUUCCCAGUAUUAAGCUUGUAAAUAAAUAAAUAACCAAUUAUCUUUAAUUUCCUAUUUUCUUAAAUAUACUUGUGAAAGAAAGAUUUAAUUGGUUAUUUUUUAAAUUUUUAUUAAUUAUGUUGGUAGAAUCUAGGAGUAACUUUGCUAUAUUGCUAAGAAAAGAGUCUUUAAGUUGGAGGGGAAAAUGUAAAUUCCUCUUUCUCUUUAUUGUAGGGGAACAAGCAUUAAUUUAAUAUAUAUAUAUAUAUAUAUAUAUAUUGUCUUACGUUGUACAAUGCAAAGGCAAUAUAUAUACUAUUUCAUAAUUUUGGGAGGGCCAAGGCCCUUGCAGGCCUAAGCACACCUCCGCCAUUGGAUAAAUGUAUACUCUUACAAUAAUGUUAUUUCAUGUUGCAUGAAAGUCUCUUUCGACCGCAAACGACUUGUAGUUCAAAUAAUUAUAAUAUAAAAAAAAAAUUCCUCGAGUUCAAGCCUAAUUUAUAGGAAAAAAAGAAAGAUCAUGGCGGUGAGGUGGCCACCUUUAUCAUUCCAAAUCCAAGGAAAACAAGUGGCUUUCUUUCUUUCAUGGUCUCACCAUAGCAAUGCACAAUACAACGCGGUCUUGUUGGGCAAACGACGUUUUACCACUUUUACCUCCCAAAUUCAAAGUAUGGAUGGAAUUCCACAAAAAUCCACAUAAGUCGGUCCAUCCCUCCAAUCCCCCAGUCCCAGUAUCCAUAUCCAUUUUGGUAAUCUUACACGAGCUUACAUUCUCGGGUCAAAUAAUUUGGGUAUGGACUUGAAUGGGUCACACCAGCCACCAGUGUGAACCAUGAGACUGGUGGGUCCAAUAUUGUUUCCAUUUAUCAUGUCUGCAUGCAGGCCACGUGGAAAGAUAUGGUAGGCAUCCACACAUGAUACACUGCGGAAUAACGCGUAGGUGAUUAAAAUAAUAACGGCCCACAGAGAGAGAGUAUCUAGAGAUGGCAAAUUUUCUUUUUCAAAUGAUAGUAAAAUCCCAAUUUUAAACCAUUUUCUCAUGAUAAAUUAUUAUAUAUAGUUUGAAAUUUCUAGACGAAAUCUUUUACCUAUUUUAUGAUAAAAUUCACAUAAAGGGAGGACUCCCGGGAGUGCAGAAAUAUCUUCAAAAACUGGUAAAAACGUGCCCCCUUCAAGCAAUUAUAAUUUGAUUCGAGAGUACAUACACUGGAUUUGUGACACUAAUCAAAUAAAAAUUGUAAAAUGUCAAUAUUCACACCCGAAAAUGUUCGAUGUUAUGUAUCGAGUUAUGUAUUGAAAGAUAACUCAAGUAGUCACUUAAUUUAUUUUAUUUUUACAAAAAAUAUAUUGUAUUAAAAAAUCAUGAAACAAUAUAGAGUAACAACGGCAUUGUUAAAAUCUUUUCGGAAGAAACAAUGUGGGAUAAAAUCACGGGAUAACUCAAGUUAACUCACGUAGUCACUCAAUUUAAAAUUAUGUAUAAUUUUUUAUAUUUAGAUUUUUUUUAAAAUUACAUUUUUUAAUACCUUUUUUUUUAUACGAACGAUAGUGGGGAAAAGGAAAAUCAAACAAAAAACAUCAUGUAUAAUGGUAAUAGCGCGAAAUCACUUAAGCUACAAAUUCCUUUCAUUUUUCAUUAUCUUUAUAUAUAUAAAGCUUUUACAAAUUACAGCUUAAAAGUUCAUGCCCAAAAAAAAAAAAAAGGCUUGCAAAUCGAGGACUUACCGCCUUGCGCCCCACGCAGAGUCUGGAAGCCUUUGUUGUCCCUUUCACACGCUUCAAAACGCAAGGACUAUAAAUUUUUUAUAAAAAAAAAUUAGUUAAAAAAAAACCUACAAAACAUAAAUUUUGUAAUUUUUUAUUAUAAAAAAACUUAAAAGAAACAAUUAAAUAAAAACCCUUGGAGCAGAAGAUUUAAAAAACCGGGUGCAGAGAAUAACGUCUGAGCAGGCAGCUCAUAGACUUUUCUCGUAAGCAUGACGACACGCAAACGCAGUGGGAACAAAUGGGAUCAUGUAUGUACACAAAAACAAAAUAAAAUAAAAUAAAAUAAAAUAAAAAAUAAAAAAGAAAAAGACAGAGGGAGAGAAGAGAGAGAAAGGGAAAUGAGUUUCCGCGUAGACAGAUGAGACUGAUGAGAAGCUAAACAGGAGACAAAAGCUUUUCUUUUCCCUUCUUUCUUUCUUUCUUUCUUUCCUUUUUCUCUUUGUUUUUAAUUUUCUGGAACUUCUCAUCAAAUCUGAACGAAUAAUUAUUAAACUGCUGGUUUUUUAUAUCGACACAUAAGCAGUUAAAGAAAGAGAGGAGGAAGAAAGAGAUCAUCAAAAUCUGUCCCUUUUUUUCUUCCUUAAGGAUUCACACCUGCCAUUCACACCACCCCCUUCAUAGAAUCUAAGCUUUAUCCUUCUUCUCUCUCUUUUAUUUUCUUCUUUCAUAUUAAAUCUUUUCGAAACCCAAACUUAAUCUUCACGAAAACACCCCUUUUUAAGAUUGAGGUUUUGGUCAUGGAGGGACAUCAUCGUCAUCAUCACCAACAACAACAGCAACAUCAUCAACCACUUCAGCAUCAAACUCAUCAGGUUCAUCUUCAACAACAACAACAACAACAACAGCAGCAGCAACAGCUUCAGCAGCAGCAGCUACAGCAGCCGCUUCCUAGUACUAUCAGCGUCAACGUGGACGCGAGCGAUAGGUUUCCUCAAUGGAGCAUUCAAGAGACGAAAGAGUUGCUGGUGAUCAGAGCCGAGCUCGACCAGACUUUCAUGGAGACGAAGAGAAACAAGCUUUUGUGGGAAGUGAUUGCCACCAAGAUGAAGGAAAAGGGCCACCAUCGCAGCGCCGAACAGUGCAAGUGCAAGUGGAAAAACCUCGUUACCCGUUACAAGGUACACAAAUGUUAUGUAAAGUAUAAACCCAAAUAAGUCCUAAGUUUAAUUAUUGAUGAAUUAAUCUCCCAUCUAAUCAACACACCCUUUAUACGACAUACUGAUUGCCUUUCAGGGGUUUGCUUUUGCUUUUCACCCAAAAUCUUCAAAAAAAUUUUUGCUGCCUUCAUUAUUAUCUGUCUGACAUAUAUAUGUGCGUGUCUUUAUGUUUCGCUUUUUGUUGAUGUAUUUAGGGAUGUGAGACGAUGGAGCCGGAAGCUAUGAGGCAGCAAUUCCCAUUUUACAAUGAGCUGCAAGCGAUUUUCGCAGCGAGGAUGCAGAGAAUGCUGUGGGCAGAAGAGAGCGGGGCUGCAAGCGGGUCGAAGAAGAAAGCGCUUUCUUCGGAUGAGGAGGAAGAUAAUGAGGACAGCGAGGCCGAGAAUAAGGCAAGCACGGUGAGGAAAAAGAAGAAGAAGGUGAAGAUGAGCAAUAUUGGCAUCAGCAGUACAAGUGGGAGUGGAAGCGGAAAUAAUGUGAGGGAGAUAUUGGAGGAGUUCAUGAAGCAACAGAUGCAAAUGGAGAUGCAAUGGCGGGAGGAGUUUCAAGCGAGGGAGAACGAGAGGCGGUUGAAGGAGAUGGAGUGGAGGCAGACCAUGGAAGCUCUAGAGAACGAGAGGAUAAUGAUGGAGAGGAGGUGGAGAGAGAGAGAAGAGCAAAGGAGGAUGAGAGAGGAGGCUAGGGCUGAGAAGAGGGAUGCUCUUAUCACCGCUUUGCUAAACAAGCUUAGAAGAGAAGACAUGUAGCAAGCAAUGAAUGGUGGCUUGAGAGGUUUGUUAGCUCUCAAUUAGCUAGAAACACUCUUGGUUCUUUGGAAAUGGGUUUGGCGUUCAAUGGAUGUUAUACAUUAUGUUGAUCCAUUUCCUUUCUUGUUUUGCCCACUGAGACGCUUUUAAUUAAUUUAUUGCUAGUUUAGUGAUGAAAAAAAGGGCUACAUCUCUCCAUUAAUCUCUCAUCUCAUUUCCAUUGAUUUAGAAAGAAAAAUCUCUUAAAUAACGUGUUUAGCCAGCUAAGUAGAAUAGGUUACUGUUCUAUUAAAUUUCCAUGUACAAGUCUUGAUAUGUAAACACAUGCAAGAAGAUCGAAGACGAGUAGUUGUCAAACACUGAAUACAGGCUUUGAGACACCAAGCACGCCAAGUUGAAAUUUGAUUCAGGUAAUUCAUUGACAUUUGUAUUCUAGCUAGCAAAAGUUGAUUGAAUACAUGCAUGGUAUACGGUUCUUAAGGUGGUGACAUCAUGACAUGCAUGUACAUAAGUGGCUGAAGAAGCUAAAACGCCAUAUGAAUUUUCCCAUAACAUUAAUUAGAUCUGACUUUUACUGCAUUUGAAUUUUUAAGUUGUGUUGAGAGAUAUAUAUAUAUAUAUAUAUUUUGUUUCCUUCAUCCCAGUUGUUGUCAUAUAUCUAGAAGUAGCAUAUAUGUCUGCAGGUGGGUAUUGAACUAAGCUGCUGAGGAUGAGUUACGAAGAUUUCACUAUAUAUAUAUGUAAUGGGACAUGACAUAGCCUUUUAAAGCUCCUUUUACUUUAGCGGAGAAUUGAAAAAGAGUUUGAAAUGAUAGACGGAAGUGAAAAUACUGUAUUUUAAGACCGUUUAACAUGUUAUGUAUAUAUGUAUUGAUUUGUUGAUAACCCAAAUGAUCUCUUGGGCAGUAUACUAGAUUAGAAAUUUCUCAUGUGUGGGACUAAUUUUGUACGAUCUAAAACGGAGAGAUAUCAAACACCACUUUCAAUUUUGAAAGUGUUUUAAUAAUGAUUAUUAUUAUAUUCUCUCAUGUGAUAUUGUGCGAGUUAAAUAUCGUGAUGACGUAUAUAUUGCGUAUAUACUGUGAUAUGAGAUGAAAGUUGAUUUUACUCUUAGCAAAAACUAUAUAUAUGUAGCUAGUUUUUCUUCAGGACACGUGAUUUCCAAGAUUCCAAGGACUGUGGCCGUGUUUUCAGAGUCUCAAACUUCGCUCCUCUUUUGACAUUCUAGCAUUUUUGCACGGAUUGAUCGGUUUAUUAAAAUACAUAUAUAUAUAAUCUUCAUGAUUUUGAAGCUACAAAUAUAUGCUGUUUAGAAUGCCGCAGAUAUCAGAAGGGCUUGUUUCACGUCUUACACACACACCGCAUGAAAAUCAUGCUCUAUUAUUCUUGACUAAUUAAAUUUUACAGCUAACAUAAAAAAGCCAUGAAAGACGUGUCAUAAUAAGCUGAGCUGUGGGUUCUUCUUCUUCUUCUUCUUCCAUAUCUGGUAGCUGCAGCAGCAGCAAGCGUUAGUCAGAAGACUUUUGAACGGUUUAGGGAAUAAUGCUAAAUAAAUAAAUCUUGGUCUACAAGUUUCAUAUUGAUAUUGUUGAGGUCCAGCUAUUUUUAAAGCGUACGUUACCGUGUUUUUGCCUCUGUCUCUAGCUGGCAUUUUGAAAUCAAGUUUGGGCAUUUCUCACCGACGCAUUUUGUCCCAAAAUAAUUUGGUGGUCCACACUCAAACUAUUUUCCGCCAACCAUAAUCCGCUUGCUGAUAUCUGCAGUCUAAAUAUGGAUCGGAUAAGGGCCUAAUUAAGUUUCUUCUCAAUUUCAUAGUAACAUUAAACUUGUGUGAACAACUAUUUUUUUAUUAAAAAGAAAAAAAAUCAAUGAGGUGUUAAACUUAUGUGAAAAAAACGACGUAAGAAAUGCCAUAAAUAUAAACAAAGUUUGAACUUUUAUGCAUAUACAGGGGCGGAGUUGGGUGCAGACUUGAAGUUGCCAUGGCUUCCCAUAUGUACCAAUCUAGCUCCGUCAUGGCACAUAUACAACUUCUUAAGUUACACAUUUAUAUUUUUAUAAAUAUCUUAUUUGUACGUGUGAACGAUGAAUUGAAAUGAGCGGAUUAUAAGAAUUUUCUUAGUUUACCAAUUAGAAAAUCAAAUUUGAUCUUAUUGCGUCAACUUGCCAGAACCCAAAUGGUCUUUACGGGGGUGUUUUGCCCGUUUCAAUGCGAAGGAAUGUCUGCAAUUAUGCCUGCAACUUCCAAGUUUGACCAGCUGCUAUUCGGACUCAAUAUAAAGAAAUUCAGUUGAACAACCUCUGCUGCUGGAUUAUAAUAAUCUCUAUUUUCAAGAUCCUAAUCACAUGGUUGCUAUCAUUUUUUUUUUCCCUUCAAAAGAAAACACUAUUAUUCUAUCACCCAUUGGACUUUCUACAAAUCUUGACUAAUUUUAUAGGUGAUGCCAAUGUCAUUCGGUCUAGGGAUAAUGGGAACAGAGACUUUUGCUUGAUGGGCUCAGUUUAGUUAUAAAUAAUCACACAACCUGCCACGUGUGUAGACUGUGGCUUGGCUUCUGUCAAAUAAACUCAAAUUCGUCAAUUUCUUUGACUUUAUGAGCUGAAUAAAUUAAAGGACCAUGAGAAACUCUCAUAUUCUUAUUCAACAGAACAAUCUCAACUACUAUGUAAUUAAACAAUGUACCAUUUGUUCAUUUGCUUUGAAACUCAAUGGAAAGAUUGGUACAUGUUACUUUGAUUUAACGAGGUAGGUAUGAGAAUUGUUAAUAUGCAAUGUUCUCCACUAGAACUUGAAGGGAUAUGUAAUUCCAACUUUGAGUUUGUGAAAAUAAAACACUCCAAUCUAAAAAGGAUGGUGAUUUUAAGGUCAAAAGUAAAGACAAAAAGUGACAGCAAAGGUUUCUUGGCCUAUAACCUCUCUUCCUUGCAGAAUUCAAUGAGACAGCAAGAUUGUGUUGUGAUUUGUGCAUUUGAACUCAGUCAGAGAAGGAAAAAGAACCUACCAAUAAUAAAUAUAUAUUAUAUAUCAUCCGAGAUAGACUUAGGGGUAAGAAAUAUAAGUGGGAAAAUAUUAAAGAAUUGAAAGAUAUAUAUAGAUGUAACUUCUGAAUUGAAAGGUUGUUUUUUUUUUUUUUCCUGGGCAAUUGUAAUAUCAAUGGGAGAUUGAAAGGGUCUCUCUCUCUCUCUCUCUCUCUCUAUAUAUAUAUAUAUAUAUAUAUACACAAAAUUUUCGAACUUUGAGGAGACAAUCAAGACCUAUAAAUAGAUCAAAAGCACUUCAGUUUAUAGAAACCUUAUGGCCUAGCCAUUGUACGCUUCAAGACUCUAAUUACAAAACAAAAAUCAUAAAAAUUAAUAAAAAGAAUUAGCACCAUUCAAAAGAUUGAUUGGAUGCAGAUCAAGGAAAAUGGUAGAUUUCUAUAACUUCUGAACUUCUCCUUUCACUACUCAAACCAGAUUGAUUAGUUGGCAAUACUCAGAAUUAGCUUGUUUUAGGCAUUGCCUCACUGUCAUUGACCUCUGGGCAACUUGGAAAAAGAUGAACUUUUGCACUUCAUCUAACUGUGUCUGGUUCAUCUGUUGGCUUUGCUGCUAUUAGAUGGAAAAAUACAUUGUUGCUUGAAGGGAAUUUGUAUAAUUAAAAUCAGAACAAAAUGCAAAGCCUGAAAGAGGAAGCUGUGCCAAUAUCAGAUGAUUAUGCAGACCUCACUUUCACCCACCUCCAUGGUUGGUUAAACAGAACACCCCAAUUCCUUAUGUAUGUAUAUAAGGUGAAAACUUGCCAAAGAAGAGCCAUGCCCUUUUCUGCAUGAUGGGGAAUUGGGAAGAAGGGAUUUGCUGAGGCACAAGUACAGUUGUGUCCCUUGCUUGGAGUUCAAGAAUGGGUUUUGCCCACAGGCUGAUGCCUGUGGCCAUUCACAUGGGAUUUUGGAGGAGAGGUUUCAUCCUAUGCUGUUCAGGACCAGAUACUGUUGGUACAUGACCACAUGUAAAAGACAAGAUUGCUCUUAUGCUCACAAGGAAGAGGAAAAAAGGGCUCCUACUGUUGCUCCAUCUGUGCCUUCUCUGAGUCUCUUAGACCAAGUAAAUCAAUUUCUACUGCUGCUCUCAGCAUUGGGGUAAACAACCCAGUUACCAUUUACCCCACUCAUUCCAUGAUGCAAACUUUGUGGCAAAAAAAUAGUAGUGAUUAUAAACAGCAGCAAUCUCAGCUUCAGCAGCAGCAGCGGAGGCCUGCAAUUAGUUUCAACAGGCCAAGUCCUUCUCCACAGUCGUUUUGUGGUACAAAUGCUGGUGAAAAUGAUCAAUUUGUGACUUUUGAUGGACUUAGUGGGGAAGAAGAAAAUUUCACCACAACCAAUCUCCACAAUGAAAAUGGACUGCUUAGAACACUCAACUGUUCUUCAAUCACAGGUCAUAGCUCACAGUGGGGUUUUAGCAACCAGCCUGAUUUUUAAUGGGUUUAUGGUCUGGUUGAAGAUGAUCAACCCAACUUGUUGGAGGACCAGAAUUAAUUGGAUAUAUACAAACAUUUAACAAUAAUUGUAAAGCUUAUCUUUCAACACCAAAUAAUUGUAAAAAUUUCGAAUGUUCAUUUACUGAUCGCAUCCGAUCCCAAAUAAUCAAAUGAAGGAAGUUUACCCUUUUAGUGAAUUUCAAUUACCAAUGCCAUCUGCAUUUGGAGAAAGGUUUGUUGAAUUUCAGUGAAUGCUCUUUUUCUUGGUUAAUUUUCGUUUCCAUUAUAUUCGUGGCUCUGUUAUAGAUCUUCUUGGAAAUUGGAAACACUCUAUUCUAUGAGAUGUAAAGAUGUAACACGAAUUAACAUUGAGAUCCAUACUUGGUAUGCAUUGCAUGGUGUCAAUUUCGUCGAACACUUUGUGGAGAGAGGCUCGUCGUGUCUACAUGGAAAAAUUGUAUGUGUCAUUGGGAUUGCCAAAGUGCUUACGUGGCUCCCAGCUGGGUACAUCUUCCAUUUCACCAAGCUCUCAAUUCUCAUAAUAAAGAAAGUCUUGGUAAGAUCGUCGGACCCUGUUACCCGUAGGACCACUUUCACAAACAAGCGAAUCCCUUGCAUUAGGGUUCCAAGCUUAUCCCACCCCUAAUGCAGGUGUCGCACUUAUUUGUAAGAACGAUUGUACGUGUGAUGUGGUCCAACCUUGUUACCCGUAGGAUUGCUUUCACAACAAGCGAAUCCUUUGUAUUAGGUUUCCACCCCUAAUGCAGGUGUCACACUUAAUUGUAAGAACAAUGAUGUGGACCGACCUUACCCAACACCUUCACCUCACAAUGAGUGAUGAUUUUGAUGGGAUGCUGGCUUUUCUCGUCUCAUGAUUUAAUUGGCCACAAAUGCAUAAGUUACUCACAUCACAUGGAAGACGGCUAAGGCAUCUCUAGUAUUGUUGACUUGAUUGUUGCCCCUAUGGAGUAGGAACGCAAGUCAGUCAUUGAAAUUUCCACAAAAGAAUUAAAGUUGUUAUUUUCAACAGUGGAUUGUUCAUAAUAGUUUGAUAUGCUUACUUACUAGUGCAGAUGUUGACAUGUUAUAGAAAUUAACUCUCCACCUACCAACUUGUUUGGGAUGGUGUUCAUUGAUAGGUAUGAAAAGGGUUCAAAUUUAACAAAACUAUGUUUUAUUAUUCAAAUUCAAUCUACAAGAAUAAAUGACAGAAAACAAUUAAAAUUGGAUCGAAGUUACACUGGAUUAGAUUUUGAUGGGAAACAAAACUACAAAAACCUGCCAUUUUUUUGAAGAGGGCAGGAGAUAAAAAAUAAAAAUAAAACUUACAUGUAACGGGAAUGGGUGUAAACAAUACGCAUUUUCCAAUUGAUUUCAUUGCUGCUAGUUGCAGGCAGAGUCUCUCAAUUAUAAUCUAAAAAGUCUUGAGAUCCUUUCACACCAAAAUGGAAAAGUUCAAGUUCUUAAACUAAGUCAGGUUUUCAAAGUUACAGAGAGAGAAACUUUGAAGGGUAUAUACAGAAUCUCAAAACAAGUUCUUCUUUCAUUCUUCAAGCACUGCAGGGCCACAGAUUUUCAUGAGAAAUCUGCACAAACUCAUCAAUGCCCUGGCGCAGUAGCAUGUCAAGGAUCAGCCCUUCAAACUCCACGCAAAUUUCUUCAUAAGCUUCGAACCCAGACACAUUCUUGGCUACCCAAUUUGACUCUUUCAAAUCCUCCUCUGUCCACCUUUGGAUUUUGGAAGCCAGCAGCUCUGCGUAAUCCCUGGUGUCUUCGUCUUUAGUUGGCUCAAAAUCUUUUCUCCUGGCUGUUCUGACUUCAGGGUCGGCAAUGUAAGGAGCUUUUGGUGAAGAUUUCAUGUUGGAGUUCAAAUCCAUAGGCAUUGAAUAUCCUAUAAACAUCAACCCAAACAAAUGAAAUUAGAAUUAAUUUGGUCACACAAUGUGCUAAAGGAAAUUAGUGAAAAAAACAGAACAAACCUGAUAACCAAGCUUCAUGUUGGAUCAACAUGUCAUCAAUGUAGAGAACAGAAACAGGGCUUGUGUUCUCUAAGCCAUGAAAACCAGCAGCCUCUUUUUCCUUGGCAAAUGCAAGUUGAUGGUUUGUCUUCUUGAUUCUUGGUUCCUCCACGGCUUUCUUCUUCUGGGUUGUCUUCUUCAGCUGAUGACGAUCGCUACUUUCCUUAAAAUUCGCAGCACCACCAUUCUUGUAACUGGUCUUCUUAUCGGGAGAAACAGAGUACCCCAAACCCUUUGAUUUUGAAGAUUGUGCGCCACAUUCUCUUCUAGGCUCAUCCUUCAACUUAGAAAUCUUCUUGUUUUGUUUUACGGCUACCAUUUUCUCCUUCUUCUUCUUCUGCUUCAUAAUCUCAUCACUCUCUCUUUUGCUGUUCUCCUUGUUCCUACUUCUCUGUUCCUUCUUCCCCUGCUUCAGCUCUCCAAAACCCAUCUCAGAUUUCUUCACCUUCGACCCAAUCUCCUUUGAUUUAUCCACAUUGUCCAAGUACACAAGAAGAAAAUCAGGACUUUUCUGAUGAUUCAGAGCCGCCGGGACUUCCCGGAAAGAGACUGAGGUUCGAACCCGGCGAUGAUGAUGCUGACGAUCUUGAUCAGCCAAAUCAAAAUCCAUCAAGUAAUCAGCAAAACUCACUGACCUACUUCGGCUAACCAAAUCUGGUCUUCCUUUCGAAACCCAAUUUGUUUCUGGCAAAGAGUCUAAACCCAUCAGCCUUGCCACUAUGCCAGGCGUGACAGAAGAAGCUGAAGAUUGGAUUUUGAGAUCAGGGUUUGGUUUUUCUGGGAGCAGAGUGAGUUGGGUUGUAUAAGGUUCCGCAAUUUGAUCUGUUGGGUGAGUAGGGACGCUUCCAGAGCACAGAAGCCUGCGCAAGACGCCAUUGAAGCAGUCAGAGCUCUGGUUCACUGAACUUGAACUUCUCCCACUACCACUCAUGGUUGUAAUUUGAAAAAACCACACACCAAAUCAAGAGACAGAGCAGAGAAGUUUAUGAAAGAAGAGAGGGCUUUGUUUUGUGAUUUGAAUUAAUGGUGAUGUUGUUAUUGGCUUAUCAAGGAAGACUUGGGUCGUUGAGUUCACAUUAGAAACUAGAAAAGAUGGAAACAAAAAGGUGGAAACACUGACGCGCACAUUUGUCGCGUAUAAAAUGAAGUAAAUUUAUCUUUCUUGGCACCAAAUUGGCCUGUCAACCUGUUGUCAGCCAUGCAGUUUAUUCAUUAAAUUUAUUUAUCGGUUUAAAUACGUGCCAUUGAUAGCAACUGGCAAGCAUGAAGAAUUAAACUAGAGGAGUUGAAAGACUUUUGUUGGAAGUGUUAGAAACGCGUGGGUCGCAUCUGGGUUCUUUGAUCUUUCUUUGUUUUUGCCAUUUUUGGGGUUUCCCCCUUCUGCACUUCUUCUACUACAAGAGAUGCCGAAGUUCUUGACCUUUUGGUGGUCCUCCAUUCUAAUUUCUUAGCCACCACCACCAUGGUCUUCGUACGGAUUUAGAAAUUCUAAUCCACCGACUUUGCUGACUCUUUUGAUUUUGGAACUUAUUGGCUCAGUUGGGUUCUUUAGUUUAUGAAGGAACUUGAGGUUCCACCCCAAAAUCAAUUGGCAAUGUGAACAACACAUUUUGGGUGACGUGGAACACGUGUGGCCUUUGGGCUUUCACACAUGGGCAACCCGCUCUGAUACCAUGAAGGAAAUUGAGGUUCCACCCCAAAACCAAUUGGCAAUGGGGGGAGUAAUCCAACUCCUUAUAAGUCGUUACUAGGUUUCUCAACUUUCCAAUGUGGGACUCUUUAUCUUCACAUUCUCACAGUUUAACAUGGGCCACCUCUACCCCAA